This 149-nucleotide unclassified non-coding RNA is filed under the name soil metagenome. Its description in RNAcentral is "partial internal transcribed spacer 1". The record is from RNAcentral.
UAAUAAGUGUUUUAUGGCACUUUUUAAAUCCAUAUCCACCUUGUGUGCAAUGUCCAGGUCGAUCUUCUUUCUUUGAGGAUCGACCAAACAUCAACCUUUAUCUUUUAACUCUUUGUCUGAAAAAUAUUAUGAAUAAACAAUUCAAAAUA